RNAcentral lists this ribosomal RNA (253 nucleotides) under uncultured bacterium. RNAcentral's name for it is "partial 16S ribosomal RNA". It matches the Rfam family "Bacterial small subunit ribosomal RNA", at positions 524 to 776 of the family's 1533-position model. The record is from RNAcentral.
UACGAAGGGGGCUAGCGUUGUUCGGAAUUACUGGGCGUAAAGGGCGCGUAGGCGGUUUGACCAGUCAGGUGUGAAAUUCCCGGGCUUAACCUGGGGGCUGCACUUGAUACUGUCAGGCUUGAAUUCGGGAGAGGAUAGCGGAAUUCCCAGUGUAGAGGUGAAAUUCGUAGAUAUUGGGAAGAACACCGGUGGCGAAGGCGGCUCACUGGCUCAUAUCUGACGCUCAGGCGCGACAGCGUGGGGAUCAAACAGG